UAAUCUCUGCAGGCAACUGUGAAGUAUUUUCACAAUCUCACAAUAGCCUACAGAGAUUCUG
Molecule: microRNA precursor, 61 nt
Filed under: Scyliorhinus torazame (cloudy catshark)
Lineage: Eukaryota; Metazoa; Chordata; Chondrichthyes; Carcharhiniformes; Scyliorhinidae
Description: Sto-Mir-216-P2a_pre stem-loop
Source: RNAcentral